GGAUUGUGGCUCAGUGGUACAGCACUCGCUUAGCACACGCGAGGCCCUGGGUUCGAUCCUCAGCACCA
Molecule: transfer RNA, 68 nt
Filed under: Marmota monax (woodchuck)
Lineage: Eukaryota; Metazoa; Chordata; Mammalia; Rodentia; Sciuridae
Description: tRNA.Ala
Source: RNAcentral